RNAcentral lists this long non-coding RNA (269 nucleotides) under Helianthus annuus (common sunflower). RNAcentral's name for it is "sRNA HanXRQr2_Chr05g0209091". The record is from RNAcentral. Lineage: Eukaryota; Viridiplantae; Streptophyta; Magnoliopsida; Asterales; Asteraceae.
GUUCUCAUAAACACGUGUCGUUACACAAAGUAAGUCUAAAGUUCGAGUUGUCACACACUAUAUGAUAAAACCAGUAGAUAUGUACAUCCAUUAAUUUAAGUUUAAAAGUAGUACAACAUAAUUGUCUGAAAUGACGAGACCAAAUUCAAGUUACAAACCAUAACAUGUUUUAAGGAGUUCAAAAAGACUCAACAAAAGAUUUUAAAGCAACCCCGAGUUUAGGACCACGUAUCUCGUCCAGGAUUAAGAUACGCCUCCUAAGCCCUAAU